Molecule: transfer RNA, 77 nt
Filed under: Escherichia coli
Lineage: Bacteria; Pseudomonadati; Pseudomonadota; Gammaproteobacteria; Enterobacterales; Enterobacteriaceae
Description: tRNA-Met
Rfam family: tRNA
About the family: Transfer RNA (tRNA) molecules are approximately 80 nucleotides in length. Their secondary structure includes four short double-helical elements and three loops (D, anti-codon, and T loops). Further hydrogen bonds mediate the characteristic L-shaped molecular structure. tRNAs have two regions of fundamental functional importance: the anti-codon, which is responsible for specific mRNA codon recognition, and the 3' end, to which the tRNAs corresponding amino acid is attached (by aminoacyl-tRNA synthetases). tRNAs cope with the degeneracy of the genetic code in two manners: having more than one tRNA (with a specific anti-codon) for a particular amino acid; and 'wobble' base-pairing, i.e. permitting non-standard base-pairing at the 3rd anti-codon position.
Source: RNAcentral
CGCGGGGUGGAGCAGCCUGGUAGCUCGUCGGGCUCAUAACCCGAAGGUCGUCGGUUCAAAUCCGGCCAUCGCAACCA